CGCGCCGGUCGCGGGGCACGUCGCCGGCCUCAACCCGGCCGGCGGCAAGGCCUCCGCCGCACCGGUGCGGUUCGCCGCCGCGCCGCCCGC
This 90-nucleotide transfer RNA is filed under the name Methylobacterium symbioticum. RNAcentral describes it as "Methylobacterium sp. SB0023/3 tRNA-Sec". The record is from RNAcentral. Lineage: Bacteria; Pseudomonadati; Pseudomonadota; Alphaproteobacteria; Hyphomicrobiales; Methylobacteriaceae.